This 468-nucleotide ribosomal RNA is filed under the name uncultured bacterium. RNAcentral's name for it is "partial 16S ribosomal RNA". It matches the Rfam family "Bacterial small subunit ribosomal RNA", at positions 28 to 507 of the family's 1533-position model. The record is from RNAcentral.
GACGAACGCUGGCGGCGUGCUUAACACAUGCAAGUCGAACGGAAAGGCCCUGCUUUUUUGGGGUGCUCGAGUGGCGAACGGGUGAGUAACACGUAAGUAACCUGCCCUUCACUUUGGGAUGACUUCAGGAAACUGGGGCUAAUACCGGACAGGAGCUCCUGCUGCAUGGUGGGGGUUGGAAAGUUUCGGCGGUCGGGGAUGGACUCGCGGCUUAUGAGCUUGUUGGUGGGGUAGUGGCUUACCAAGGCUUUGACGGGUAGGCGGCAUGGGAGCUUGACCGGCGACAUGAGGACUGCGAGAGGGACCAGUCGCGAACGUGAGGCAACAGUGGGGAGUCUGGCACAGUGGGCGCGAGCCUGAGGCAGAGGCGCCCCGGGCGGGAUGGCGGCUUGCGGGGUGAGAACCGCUUUCGCCUGAGACGAAGCGGGAGUGACGGUACUGGAGAAAGAAGCACCGGCUAACUACGUG